UGAGGAAUAUUGGUCAAUGGACGGAAGUCUGAACCAGCCAAGUCGCGUGAAGGAUGACUGCCCUAUGGGUUGUAAACUUCUUUUGUAUUGGGAGAAUAAGCCUUACGUGUAAGGUGAUGACUGUACAAUACGAAUAAGCAUCGGCUAACUACGUGCCAGCAGCCGCGGUAAUACGUAGGUGGCAAGCGUUAUCCGGAAUUAUUGGGCGUAAAGGGUGCGUAGGUAGUGCAUUAAGUCUGAAGUAAAAGCCAGUAGCUCAACUACUGUAAGCUUUGGAAACUGGUGUACUAGAGUGCAGAAGAGGAUAGUGGAAUUCCAUGUGUAGCGGUAAAAUGCGUAGAUAUAUGGAGGAACACCAGUGGCGAAGGCGGCUGUCUGGUCUGUAACUGACACUGAGGCACGAAAGCGUGGGGAGCAAAUA
Molecule: ribosomal RNA, 421 nt
Filed under: uncultured bacterium
Lineage: Bacteria
Description: bacterial SSU rRNA
Rfam family: Bacterial small subunit ribosomal RNA
Source: RNAcentral